Molecule: long non-coding RNA, 786 nt
Organism: Pseudopipra pipra
Lineage: Eukaryota; Metazoa; Chordata; Aves; Passeriformes; Pipridae
Exons: 3
Source: RefSeq, a predicted model, not a curated record
CCUCUGGAAUCUUACCGUUUGCUCGGGACACAAAGGCUUUAACAGAGGGGGGAAAAAAGGUACAUUAUCAGAAGCCAAAAAUGACAUUUGGGUUCUCCUGAGUGGGAAAAAAACUGCAUUCAACCAGCUUCUCUAGAAGCUCGUGGUUCUAGAAGCAGCAAAUGGGAUGCUGGAGCCCCCAAGCACCUCUGCUUUCAAGUAGGCACCACAAUGACCUGAGCAAGUUCAGGUUUGAACUUCAGAGCAAGUUCAAAUCCAGCAGAAAAGCUCAACCCACAAACACUGUGUUCCACUGUCAUGAUUCAAAUACCAUGAUGCUGACACUUUGAUCCUGACAAGCACUACCAAACAUGCUAUUUUUGUUAUUUUUGGAGCAGCUAGCAUGGCACAGGGGUCAAAAGGAUCUGAUUUGCUGGGAACAGCAGCAGUAAAAAAUAUGGUGCCCAAAAUUAUAGACAGCGAUUUUAUUUCUUCAUUUACGUAUCUCUGUGGAGUUUUUCCUUUGUGACCUCAACCAAGUCACAUCAUCUUAUAACCACUGUUGCUUCUUCACAGGUACACACUUCCAAACAGGCAAUAAAACCCUAGUCAGUUAGUUACUAACCCAGUAACUAAUUAGUAGUUAACCUGCUCUAGGCAUCCAACUGAAAACUCAUUUCAUCAUUUCAUAAACUAUUCUCUUUCCUGCUAGACAUCACUAGCAGACAUAUAAAAUCAAUAUAUAAAUAAGUAGAAUCACUACUUCCAUAGAAACUUAAACCAAACCAAAAUAAAAUAACCUACAAC